AUUGAACGCUGGCGGCAGGCCUAACACAUGCAAGUCGAGCGGAUGAAGGGAGCUUGCUCCCUGAUUCAGCGGCGGACGGGUGAGUAAUGCCUAGGAAUCUGCCUGAUAGUGGGGGACAACGUUUCGAAAGGAACGCUAAUACCGCAUACGUCCUACGGGAGAAAGCAGGGGACCUUCGGGCCUUGCGCUAUCAGAUGAGCCUAGGUCGGAUUAGCUAGUUGGUGAGGUAAUGGCUCACCAAGGCGACGAUCCGUAACUGGUCUGAGAGGAUGAUCAGUCACACUGGAACUGAGACACGGUCCAGACUCCUACGGGAGGCAGCAGUGGGGAAUAUUGGACAAUGGGCGAAAGCCUGAUCCAGCCAUGCCGCGUGUGUGAAGAAGGUCUUCGGAUUGUAAAGCACUUUAAGUUGGGAGGAAGGGUUGCUGAUUAAUACUCUGCAAUUUUGACGUUACCGACAGAAUAAGCACCGGCUAACUCUGUGCCAGCAGCCGCCGCCG
This 500-nucleotide ribosomal RNA is filed under the name uncultured bacterium. RNAcentral's name for it is "partial 16S ribosomal RNA". It matches the Rfam family "Bacterial small subunit ribosomal RNA", at positions 30 to 523 of the family's 1533-position model. The record is from RNAcentral.